This 237-nucleotide long non-coding RNA is filed under the name Carica papaya (papaya). RNAcentral's name for it is "long non-coding RNA (CPAP_LNC000955)". Lineage: Eukaryota; Viridiplantae; Streptophyta; Magnoliopsida; Brassicales; Caricaceae. The record is from RNAcentral.
UGGGUUUGUUUUUCUUGAGGUAAGUACAACAAAUUCCUUUAAGUUUUAUGUAAGAAUAUUUCUAUCAUGAUAAAAAUGAUCUUGCGAUGAUUUUAGGAAAAAUAAACAACCAAAAAGCUGCUCUAAAGUAGGAGAAAGAAUGAAACAUAGAAGGUACUCACACCUAAAACUAUAGUUGAGCAUAUUAAAUAUCUUGAGUUUUUGAAGAGUAUUUACUUCGAAAUGUUGGGGAAUUUU